GGUUUUAGUAGACAAAAAUACCCUCAUAUAUUAUGGAUUUUAAGUUUAAGGUUAAAGGUAUUUGAAUAAAUUUCUUUCUCAAAACUAAAAAAAAAAAAACAAGAAACCCCCUAAACCCUUAGUCAACUCUCUCAUUCCUCUUAACCCAUUUGUCUUUCAUCUCUCUCACUCUACCUUUUCUCUGUCAUCUAGCCCCAUUUGAAAAAAAUCAGAAACACUUGCCUAACGUUAAUCCAUCUUCCUCACUUAUCUAAUUUGUUUCUCUCUCAUCUCCACACUCUUCCUCACCCACACACAACAA
This 301-nucleotide long non-coding RNA is filed under the name Vigna radiata. RNAcentral describes it as "long non-coding RNA (VRAD_LNC001723)". The record is from RNAcentral. Lineage: Eukaryota; Viridiplantae; Streptophyta; Magnoliopsida; Fabales; Fabaceae.